AAGCUGAUGAGCUGAUCCGACUUCUUUGAGUCCUCGAUGUCUAAAGGUAUAUAAAAUUGUUCGCAAACUUGAUGAAAAUGUUGUGAUAAAGAUGGAGCGUGGUAUUGUGGGCGAUGUUGACUAUCCCUUACAACUUGACCCGUUGGAGAUUAUGUGUUUCUUAAGGAUGGAGACGUUAGAUGUUUCCAUAUUGCAGUUCUUUAUAAGAUGAACGGACAGGGUAUAUCAACGUCACCAUGCAAUAUGGAC
This is a long non-coding RNA of Ipomoea nil (Japanese morning glory), 249 nucleotides long. RefSeq lists it as uncharacterized. The transcript has 3 exons. Lineage: Eukaryota; Viridiplantae; Streptophyta; Magnoliopsida; Solanales; Convolvulaceae. The record is from RefSeq and is a predicted model, not a curated record.